UGCAAGUCGAGCGGGCGUAGCAAUACGUCAGCGGCAGACGGGUGAGUAACGCGUGGGAACAUACCUUUUGGUUCGGAACAACACAGGGAAACUUGUGCUAAUACCGGAUAAGCCCUUACGGGGAAAGAUUUAUCGCCGAAAGAUUGGCCCGCGUCUGAUUAGCUAGUUGGUGAGGUAACGGCUCACCAAGGCGACGAUCAGUAGCUGGUCUGAGAGGAUGAUCAGCCACAUUGGGACUGAGACACGGCCCAAACUCCUACGGGAGGCAGCAGUGGGGAAUAUUGGACAAUGGGCGCAAGCCUGAUCCAGCCAUGCCGCGUGAGUGAUGAAGGCCCUAGGGUUGUAAAGCUCUUUUGUGCGGGAAGAUAAUGACGGUACCGCAAGAAUAAGCCCCGGCUAACUUCGUGCCAGCAGCCGCGGUAAUACGAAGGGGGCUAGCGUUGCUCGGAAUCACUGGGCGUAAAGGGUGCGUAGGCGGGUCUUUAAGUCAGGGGUGAAAUCCUGGAGCUCAACUCCAGAACUGCCUUUGAUACUGAGGAUCUUGAGUUCGGGAGAGGUGAGUGGAAACUGCGAGAUGU
This 578-nucleotide ribosomal RNA is filed under the name Bradyrhizobium sp. Is-C060. RNAcentral describes it as "bacterial SSU rRNA". It matches the Rfam family "Bacterial small subunit ribosomal RNA", at positions 56 to 679 of the family's 1533-position model. The record is from RNAcentral. Lineage: Bacteria; Pseudomonadati; Pseudomonadota; Alphaproteobacteria; Hyphomicrobiales; Nitrobacteraceae.